This 672-nucleotide ribosomal RNA is filed under the name uncultured fungus. Its description in RNAcentral is "eukaryotic LSU rRNA". The stretch from base 157 to 310 matches the Rfam family "5.8S ribosomal RNA". Lineage: Eukaryota; Fungi. The record is from RNAcentral.
CUGGCCCUUUGGGCAAUAUGUGCACACACCUCUGGUCACUUGUUUCUUCUGCUCCACCUGUGCACUGCCUGUAGACACGCUGUGUCUAUGAUAUUUGUUACACACACAAUGUUAUGCAUGUUGGUUGGCAUAUUACAUGUUAUAUAAUAAAUAUACAACUUUCAACAACGGAUCUCUUGGCUCUCGCAUCGAUGAAGAACACAGCGAAAUGUGAUAAGUAAUGUGAAUUGCAGAAUCCAGUGAAUCAUCGAAUCUUUGAGCGCAUCUUGCGCUCCUUGGCAUUCCGAGGAGCAUGCCUGUUUGAGUGUCAUUAAACUAUCAAAACACUUUUCUAGAAGUGUUUUGGACUUUGGGAAUACUCUGCUGGUCUGUUUGAGCCAGCUCUCCUCAAAAGCAUUAACUUUGGAGACCAUCAGUGUGAUAAUUUGUUUAUGCGCUGGCUUCUCCUUUUUUAAAUGCCCCUUUGACCUCAAAUCAGGUAGGACUACCCGCUGAACUUAAGCAUAUCAAUAAGCGGAGGAAAAGAAACUAACAAGGAUUCCCCUAGUAACUGCGAGUGAAGCGGGAAAAGCUCAAAUUUGAAAUCUGGCAGUCUUUUUUUUCUUCUUUGGCUGUCCGAGUUGUAAUCUAGAGAAGUGUUACCUGCACUGGACCAUGUAUAAGUCUCCUGGA